GAUGAACGCAGGCGGCGUGCCUAACACAUGCAAGUCGAACGGAGAUUACAGACGGAAGUUUUCGGAUGGAAGACUGUAAUUCUUAGUGGCGGACGGGUGAGUAACGCGUGGGCAACCUGCCCUAUACAGGGGGAUAGCAGCUGGAAACGGCUGGUAAGACCGCAUAAGUCGGUUAAAUCGCAUGAUUUGACCGGGAAAUGAGCAAUCAGGUAUAGGAUGGGCCCGCGUCCGAUUAGCCAGUUGGCAGGGUAAAAGCCUACCAAAGCGACGAUCGGUAGCCGGACUGAGAGGUCGGACGGCCACAUUGGGACUGAGACACGGCCCAAACUCCUACGGGAGGCAGCAGUGGGGGAUAUUGCACAAUGGAGGAAACUCUGAUGCAGCGACGCCGCAUGAGUGAAGAAGUAUUUCGGUAUGUAAAGCUCUAUCAGCAGGGAAGA
RNAcentral lists this ribosomal RNA (440 nucleotides) under Catonella morbi. RNAcentral describes it as "bacterial SSU rRNA". It matches the Rfam family "Bacterial small subunit ribosomal RNA", at positions 28 to 448 of the family's 1533-position model. Lineage: Bacteria; Bacillati; Bacillota; Clostridia; Lachnospirales; Lachnospiraceae. The record is from RNAcentral.